This 227-nucleotide long non-coding RNA is filed under the name Rattus norvegicus (Norway rat). RNAcentral describes it as "long non-coding RNA NONRATT023539". The record is from RNAcentral. Lineage: Eukaryota; Metazoa; Chordata; Mammalia; Rodentia; Muridae.
GAGCGCACCAAUGACAUCGAGCUCCUCAAAACGGAGCAGGUGAAGCUGCAGGGGGUCAUCAGGUCCCUAGAGAAGGACAUCCAAGGACUCAAGAGAGAGAUCCAGGAGAGGGAUGAGACCAUUCAAGACAAGGAGAAGCGAAUUUAUGAUCUGAAGAAGAAGAACCAAGAGUUAGAGAAAUUCAAAUUUGUCCUUGACUACAAAAUAAAGGAACUGAAGAAGCAAAU